AGCGAACGUUAGCGGCGGGCUUAACACAUGCAAGUCGAGCGAGAAAGGGGCUUCGGCCCUGAGUACAGCGGCGGACGGGUGAAUAACACGUAGGUAACCUUCCUUUCAGCGGGGGACAACGGUCCGAAAGGACCGCUAAUACCGCAUACGUUCCCUGGGACCUCGGUCCUGGGGAGGAAAGGCCCGCAAGGGCCACUGGAUGAGGGGCCUGCGUAGCAUCAGCUAGUUGGUGGGGUAAUGGCCUACCAAGGCGAAGACGCUUAGCUGGCCUGAGAGGAUGAUCAGCCACACUGGGACUGAGACACGGCCCAGACUCCUACGGGAGGCAGCAGUGGGGAAUAUUGGACAAUGGGCGCAAGCCUGAUCCAGCCACGCCGCGUGAGUGAUGAAGGCCUUCGGUCGUAAAGCUCUGUGGGGAGGGACGAACCGCCACCGGUUAAUACCCGGUGGCAUGACGGUACCUCCUUAGCAAGCACCGGCUAAC
Molecule: ribosomal RNA, 484 nt
Filed under: uncultured bacterium
Lineage: Bacteria
Description: bacterial SSU rRNA
Rfam family: Bacterial small subunit ribosomal RNA
Source: RNAcentral